UACAGAGGUCCCAAGCGUUGUUCGGAUUCACUGGGCGUAAAGAGCGUGUAGGCGGCCAUGCAGGUCAGCUGUGAAAACUCGAGGCUCAACCUCGAGACGUCGGUUGAAACCGUAUGGCUAGAGUCCGGAAGAGGAGAGUGGAAUUCCCGGUGUAGCGGUGAAAUGCGCAGAUAUCGGGAAGAACACCCGUGGCGAAGGCGGCUCUCUGGGACGGUACUGACGCUGAGACGCGAAAGCGUGGGGAGCGAACAGG
Molecule: ribosomal RNA, 253 nt
Filed under: uncultured bacterium
Lineage: Bacteria
Description: partial 16S ribosomal RNA
Rfam family: Bacterial small subunit ribosomal RNA
Source: RNAcentral